AGUGAACGCUGGCGGUAGGCCUAACACAUGCAAGUCGAACGGCAGCACAGUAAGAGCUUGCUCUUACGGGUGGCGAGUGGCGGACGGGUGAGGAAUACAUCGGAAUCUACUUUUUCGUGGGGGCUAACGUAGGGAAACUUACGCUAAUACCGCAUACGACCUACGGGUGAAAGCAGGGGACCUUCGGACCUUGCGCGAUUGAAUGAGCCGAUGUCGGAUUAGCUAGUUGGCGGGGUAAAGGCCCACCAAGGCGACGAUCCGUAGCUGGUCUGAGAGGAUGAUCAGCCACACUGGAACUGAGACACGGUCCAGACUCCUACGGGAGGCAGCAGUGGGGAAUAUUGGACAAUGGGCGCAAGCCUGAUCCAGCCAUACCGCGUGGGUGAAGAAGGCCUUCGGGUUGUAAAGCCCUUUUAUUGGGAAAGAAAAGCAGCAGGUUAAUACCCCGCUGUUCUGACGGUACCCAAAGAAUAAGCACCGGCUAACUUCGUG
This 492-nucleotide ribosomal RNA is filed under the name uncultured bacterium. Its description in RNAcentral is "partial 16S ribosomal RNA". It matches the Rfam family "Bacterial small subunit ribosomal RNA", at positions 29 to 507 of the family's 1533-position model. The record is from RNAcentral.